AAUGAGGCGAACCGGGGGAACUGAAACAUCUAAGUACCCCGAGGAAAAGAAAUCAACCGAGAUUCCCCCAGUAGCGGCGAGCGAACGGGGAGGAGCCCAGAGCCUGAAUCAGUGUGUGUGUUAGUGGAAGCGUUUGGAAAGGCGCGCGAUACAGGGUGACAGCCCCGUACACAAAAAUGCACAUGCUGUGAGCUCGAUGAGUAGGGCGGGACACGUGGUAUCCUGUCUGAAUAUGGGGGGACCAUCCUCCAAGGCUAAAUACUCCUGACUGACCGAUAGUGAACCAGUACCGUGAGGGAAAGGCGAAAAGAACCCCGGCGAGGGGAGUGAAAAAGAACCUGAAACCGUGUACGUACAAGCAGUGGGAGCACAGAGCAAUCUGUGUGACUGCGUACCUUUUGUAUAAUGGGUCAGCGACUUAUAUUCUGUAGCAAGGUUAACCGAAUAGGGGAGCCGAAGGGAAACCGAGUCUUAACUGGGCGUUAAGUUGCAGGGUAUAGACCCGAAACCCGGUGAUCUAGCCAUGGGCAGGUUGAAGGUUGGGUAACACUAACUGGAGGACCGAACCGACUAAUGUUGAAAAAUUAGCGGAUGACUUGUGGCUGGGGGUGAAAGGCCAAUCAAACCGGGAGAUAGCUGGUUCUCCCCGAAAGCUAUUUAGGUAGCGCCUCGUGAAUUCAUCUCCGGGGGUAGAGCACUGUUUCGGCAAGGGGGUCAUCCCGACUUACCAACCCGAUGCAAACUGCGAAUACCGGAGAAUGUUAUCACGGGAGACACACGGCGGGUGCUAACGUCCGUCGUGAAGAGGGAAACAACCCAGACCGCCAGCUAAGGUCCCAAAGUCAUGGUUAAGUGGGAAACGAUGUGGGAAGGCCCAGACAGCCAGGAUGUUGGCUUAGAAGCAGCCAUCAUUUAAAGAAAGCGUAAUAGCUCACUGGUCGAGUCGGCCUGCGCGGAAGAUGUAACGGGGCUAAACCAUGCACCGAAGCUGCGGCAGCGACACUGUGUGUUGUUGGGUAGGGGAGCGU
Molecule: ribosomal RNA, 1028 nt
Filed under: Escherichia coli
Lineage: Bacteria; Pseudomonadati; Pseudomonadota; Gammaproteobacteria; Enterobacterales; Enterobacteriaceae
Description: partial 23S ribosomal RNA
Rfam family: Bacterial large subunit ribosomal RNA
Source: RNAcentral